RNAcentral lists this long non-coding RNA (1924 nucleotides) under Solanum tuberosum (potato). Its description in RNAcentral is "long non-coding RNA (STUB_LNC004799)". The record is from RNAcentral. Lineage: Eukaryota; Viridiplantae; Streptophyta; Magnoliopsida; Solanales; Solanaceae.
UAAAAGCAUCAACCAAAAAACCUCAACAUAAAUUGACAGACAAGGCCGCUGCAUGAAAAGAAGAAUCUACGGCUCAGUAAGACCCAGCAACUGCAAGCACAGAAAGAAUGGAACAGUUAAAGUGCAAAGCUGGUGAAGCACGCUACGUAGAAUUUACUAGAAAUACCAAGACAAGAUUGAGAACCGCCUUCUUCCAAAGCCUCUUGGUAAUAUCCAGAUUGUAGUGCAAGAACAACAUGGACAAGAAACAUGCUGCACAAGAAUGCAGUACACCAACCAUCAAAAUCUUCCACAACUAAUCCCCUCAACUGUCACCAUACAUCCAUCCAACAAACAAAAUCAAGCUAGUGUAAUACAAAAGUAAAAGGAAGCAGAGAAUAUGAGCAGCGAGAACAACAAAAGAGAAGACCAUUUUACGAGGCUUUCAGAAGAUUCAAAAUUGAGUACUUGUUAGGUGUCCACAAGACCAUAACCAUCAGAAAACUCAUCAAUUGGAUAAUUGAAGAAAAUAAGCAUCUGAACUGAAAACCAAAAACGACGAUAGAAUAUGACCAAAAAAAAUUAUUUAGUUGAAAAUCUCAGUGCUCAUACAAGCCUCAACCAUGAAAACCUCGACAUAAAUUGGACAAACAAAGCCGCUCCAUCAAAAGAAUAUUUUACUCUAUAAGACCCAAUGGCUGCAAGCACAAAAAAAAGGGUACAAUCAAGUCCAAAACUGACAAAACCCAUACCACCUAAGAAAUCACUAGAGAUGCCAUAUAGACGAGAUUUAAAAAACCCCUUCAUUGUUGAAGCCCUGAUCAAUAUGUUCUGAUUGCAGUACAAGAACCAAAAAUACCAAGAGGGUACAGAUUGCAGUGCAAGAACCAAAAAGACCAACAGGGUAUAGAGAUAGCAUACUGGACAUCAACCUUUGAAAUCUCCAAAUCUUUAACCUGUAAUACUGCCACCAUAUAGUCUACAUAUCCAUCCAACAAAAAUAAAAAGUUGACAACCAAAAGAAAAUGGCAGGAAAAAACAUAUGUAGCUAGAAGACCAGAAGUACAGGAGCACUUAAUGGCGCUGUCAAACUAUAAGAUCAAAAAUUGACGGAGUACUUAUCAGGUGUCUAUAAGCAGAGACCUCAUCUGUCGAAGACUGAUAAUACAGAAUGAAGUGCAAGCACAGAAAUGGCAAAGAAACAAGGUGCACAAUGAACACUGGGCAUCAACCUUCGGAACUUUCCAAAUCUAAUCCUCUUAACUGCCAUCCAUCCAACAAACAAAAUCAAUCUGGAAGCAGAGUACAACACAUACUAGUUGAAAAUAUUACCAUUAUUGAGGACUUCCACACAACAGUAGUUUUGACAAAGAGAAAAGUGACACGCUGAUUAAGGAAAAGCUGAACAAAAGUUCAUUCUGUGGAACACCCAAUGAUUACAUGCACAAAUAGAACGAAACAAGUACAAAACAUGGGAAACUCAUACCACGAAGAGAGAUCACUAGAGAUGCCAAACAAUGCAACAUUGCAAAGCGCCCAUUACUUGAAGCCUGGUGAUACCCAAUCAUCCAGAUUGCAGUGCAAGCACCAGAAUGGAAAGAAAUAGGGUCCACAGGGAUGCACAUCGAAACCAAAGCACAAAAUUCACAAAUCUUACCCUCUUACUAUCAUAUCACCACCAUGUGGCCUACAAACACUCAUUCAACCGAAACUAAAUCAACUGGUAAGCUAAACGAAAGCAGAGAAGUUAAGCAGCUAGAACACAAAAGUAGAGUGCGUUACAGGGCUAUCAAAAGAUCCAAGACUGAGUUUGAAUAUACUCAUCAAGUGUCCAUAACCAUGGAGUUCUCAUCAGUUGGAUCAUUAAAAAACAUAAGCAUCUGGAUUACUUAAAAAACUGUAACAAAAUACACACUAGUGAAGCAGUGUUGACAAAGAGAAAAGC